AAACCCAAAAAGUGGACACGGGCCCUUCCSAGUGGCCUCCGCUGAAGAUGGGUUUUCCCCCGUGGAUUACCUUGGGGGGAUAAGGAGAGGGGCAGCCCUGGUGUCAGCCGCCGCGGUAAUACAGCUCUCCCGAGUGGUGGGGAUGCUUAUUGGGCCUAAAGCAUUCGUAGCCUGCUUGGCAAGUCCUCCGUUAAAUCCAACGAUUCAUCGUUGGGCUGCGGGGGAUACUGUCCGGCUAGGGGGCGGGAGAGGCCGACGGUAUCCUCGGGGUAGGGGUGAAAUCCUAUAAUCCCGGGAGGACCACCAGUGGCGAAGGCUGUCGGCUAGAACGCGCUCGACGGUGAGGGAUGAAAGCUGGGGGAGCGAACCGGAUUAGAUACCCGGGUAGUCCCAGCUGUAAACGAUGCAGGCUAGGUGUUGGCGCGGCUACGUGCCGCUUCAGUGCCGCAGGGAAGCCGUUAAGCCUGCCGCCUGGGAAGUACGGCCGCAAGGCUGAAACUUAAAGGAAUUGGCGGGGGAG
Molecule: ribosomal RNA, 520 nt
Filed under: uncultured archaeon
Lineage: Archaea
Description: bacterial SSU rRNA
Rfam family: Archaeal small subunit ribosomal RNA
Source: RNAcentral